CGGGUGAGUAACGCGUGGAUAAUCUGCCUACCAUGGGGGAAUAACCAACCGAAAGGUUGGCUAAUACCGCAUAAGGCCACAAUUUCUGAGGAAAUAGGGGCUAAAGAUUUAUCGCUGGUAGAUGAGUCUGCGUGGGAUUAGCUAGUUGGUGGGGUAACGGCCUACCAAGGCUACGAUCUCUAACAGGUCUGAGAGGAUGACCUGUCACACUGGAACUGAGACACGGUCCAG
Molecule: ribosomal RNA, 231 nt
Filed under: uncultured bacterium
Lineage: Bacteria
Description: partial 16S ribosomal RNA
Rfam family: Bacterial small subunit ribosomal RNA
Source: RNAcentral